RNAcentral lists this small RNA (2541 nucleotides) under Arabidopsis thaliana (thale cress). Its description in RNAcentral is "ATSL059950". The record is from RNAcentral. Lineage: Eukaryota; Viridiplantae; Streptophyta; Magnoliopsida; Brassicales; Brassicaceae.
GUCUAGUAACUUUAAAAACAUCACAUAAAAUAUAUAAAAUAAAAUUUGUAAGCUAUCAUAUAUAAUGAAAGAGAGAGAAUGUAAUAAUAUAUGAAAAAUUGAAAGUCCAAAUGAUAAUCAAUUAAAGUCUUCUAUAUAAUAUGUGAACAAGAAAUUUAAUACAAGUGCCUAAAAGUAUAUAUAUAUACAAAAGAACCCUAUAUACAAGAGAUAAGUUGGGAAGUAAACACAUUUUGCAAAAAUAAUUGGUAAAGUAUGUACUUUUUUUAGAAAUUAGAGAUAGAGGUACUUUUCUCUCUCUUCUCUAAUAGAACUUCACCUCUAAUAGAGCUUUUAGUAAUAGACACUUUUACUCUUUUAUUGUGUAGUUGAUAUUAAUUGGGCCUUCACUAAAACCAACCCAAUAACAUUUUCAAUUUUUAAAUCAAUUGGACCAUCAUCCAUGAAGGGUUCUUAGCAAAAUUUUGAUUAAAAACUAAAUCAAAAUAUUGAAAAUAAUUUUGAUUAAAAGCUAAAUCAAAAUAUUUUCCUUAUUCUAAUGUACGUAUAUGGUGUACUAAUGUUGGCGUACGUAUGUGGUGUACUAAUGUUGGUGUACGUAUGUGGUGUACUUAUGCUAAUGUAGACAUUUGAGGUGUACUAACUCUGGUGUAUGCAUGUUGUUUCCCUUAUUCUAGUGUACGUAUAUAGUGUACUAAUGUUGGUGUACGUAUGUAGUGUACUAAUGUUGGUGUACAUAUGUGGUGUACUAAUGUUGGUGUACGUAUGUGGUGUACUUAUGCUAGUAUAGACACUUGAGGUGUAAAUUAUUUUAACUGGUCUACGAAAUAUUGUAUUUGGGCUUAGUAAAUAUUAUUUGACCCAUUAUUCCUAAAAUUUUGGACCCACACAAAAUUUUCCUUUUCACAACAAAAGGGUACAAUAGUAUUUGACUCAUAUUUUAGAUUUUAGUAGCAUAUUCUCUAUCUCAUAAGCUCUCUAUCUCACAAGCCCAACAAAAAGUACCCAUUCCUCCUAUUUCUAAAAAAAGUAUCUAGUUUCCAAGUAAUUUUGUAAAAAGUGUCUACUUCUCUAAUAAGCCCUAUAUACAAUGCAUGCAUUGACCAAAUUACAUCCCAAGUGGCCAAGUGCGCUUCCACUAUGCAUUUAUUAUUUAUGCACAAUAUUAUAUUUCAAAUCAUUCAUGAAUCGUUUACCGUCAACAUUACCGUCAUUAUUGAUGAAUGGUUGACUAACAAACACGAUACUCCUCCAUGUCUCAAGAUUUGAAUCUAUCCGAGAUGAUCCAAAGGUUAGAAGCAGAAGGACAAAAGAAUCCCGAUAGCCGAUUUAAGUGGGAUGAUGGAUCCGACCAUGAUGACGCAAAAAAUAUAUGUAAGAGGUGACUCUCAGGGCAUAAGAUGCAUCCGAUUUGACUAUAUCAAGAGUGGACAACCGAAAUAUAAUUCAUUCCAUGGUGCCUCGUGUGGAGGUUUCACCCAGACGGUAUAAUUUGGAUCUACUAACUAAACUCCCUUCAUUUUACUCUAUUGACAGCGAUUUGAAUUUGUUUCACCAAAUUAUGCAGUUUAAGAUUAACCAUAAAGAAGAUGAACAACUUGUAUCUGUUGAGGGUCAUUAUGAGCCAGACUCGAGUGCGAUUGUAGGACUUCAAAUUAAAACCAACUUGAGGAGUUCUAAACUGAUAGGACAUGGAAAAAAGGAUGAUACUAAGUUUUCAUUAGUUGUGGCCUGUGGACGGAAAGAAAAUCAUCGGGUUUCACGGAUAUUUCUUCAAUUUAAAGUCUUCUUACACCCUCUAAAUCUCAUAGUUUCUUAAUUAUUCAAACUGCCAAAGCCUAAACAAGACUUAACCACAAAACCAACUACAAUUAUGUUAUACCAAAGCGACAUCAGAUUCAAGCAAAACAAGAACUGGAUCACAUCCCUUCACUAAUUUGUAAUCAUGUGUUGUGGACGAUGACAAUCUCAUUCUCAAUAUCAACUGCGACUGAUUUAAAUAUUAUGCUAUUUAGUUUGGGAGAUUUGCAAAACUACCCUUUUUUUACUACUCUUUUGCAACAAUACCCUUUUAUGUUGUCCAUUUUUAUAAAUACCCUUUCCCUUGAACAGAAUGACCAAAUUACCCUCAUCUAAUAGGAACAUGUAAUUGGAAACUGAAAUUUUCCCGCCAAAAAAAAUAAUUUCCACCAAACUUUUUUUCCGCCAAAAAAAAAAAAAUUCCCGCCAAAUUUUUUUUCCUUAACAAAUUUUUUCUCAGCCAAAAAAAUGCUUUUAAAAAUCCUUGUAAAUUUUUUUGGCGGAAAAUAGAUUUACAAGGGAUUUUAAAAGGGAUUUAAAAGAUUUACAAGGAAUUUAAAAGAUUUACAAAGAAUUUUAAAAGAGUUUUAAAAGAUUUACAAGGGAUUUUAAAAAGUUUUAAAAAGAUUUACAAGAGUUUUUAAAGGGUCUUCUUGUAAAUUCUUUAAGAAACUCUUGUACAUCUUUUAAAACCCUUUUAAAAUCUCUUGUAAAUCUUUUAAAACCCUAUUAAAAUUCCUU